AUUGAACGCUGGCGGCAGGCCUAAACAUGCAAGUCGCACGGUAACAGGAAGCAGCUUGCUGCUUUGCUGACGAGUGGCGGACGGGUGAGUAAUGUCUGGGAAACUGCCUGAUGGAGGGGGAUAACUACUGGAAACGGUAGCUAAUACCGCAUAACGUCGCAAGACCAAAGAGGGGGACCUUAGGGCCUCUUGCCAUCGGAUGUGCCCAGAUGGGAUUAGCUAGUAGGUGGGGUAACGGCUCACCUAGGCGACGAUCCCUAGCUGGUCUGAGAGGAUGACCAGCCACACUGGAACUGAGACACGGUCCAGACUCCUACGGGAGGCAGCAGUGGGGAAUAUUGCACAAUGGGCGCAAGCCUGAUGCAGCCAUGCCGCGUGUAUGAAGAAGGCCUUCGGGUUGUAAAGUACUUUCAGCGGGGAGGAAGGGAGUAAAGUUAAUACCUUUGCUCAUUGACGUUACCCGCAGAAGAAGCACCGGCUAACUCCGUG
This 489-nucleotide ribosomal RNA is filed under the name uncultured bacterium. RNAcentral describes it as "partial 16S ribosomal RNA". It matches the Rfam family "Bacterial small subunit ribosomal RNA", at positions 30 to 507 of the family's 1533-position model. The record is from RNAcentral.